UGAGGAAUAUUGGUCAAUGGACGCAAGUCUGAACCAGCCAUGCCGCGUGCAGGAUGACGGCUCUAUGAGUUGUAAGCUGCUUUUGCAGAAGGGUAAACCCAGGUACGUGUACCUGGCUGAAAGUACUCUGCGAAUAAGGAUCGGCUAACUCCGUGCCAGCAGCCGCGGUAAUACGGAGGAUCCAAGCGUUAUCCGGAUUUAUUGGGUUUAAAGGGUGCGUAGGCGGCUUGAUAAGUUGGAGGUGAAAGCCCGUGGCUCAACCACGGAACUGCCUCCAAUACUGUUGAGCUAGAGAGUAGUUGCUGUGGGCGGAAUGUGUGGUGUAGCGGUGAAAUGCUUAGAGAUCACACAGAACACCGAUUGCGAAAGCAGCUCACAAAGCUAUAUCUGACGCUGAGGCACGAAAGCGUGGGGAGCAAACA
RNAcentral lists this ribosomal RNA (422 nucleotides) under uncultured Alistipes sp. RNAcentral's name for it is "partial 16S ribosomal RNA". It matches the Rfam family "Bacterial small subunit ribosomal RNA", at positions 355 to 774 of the family's 1533-position model. The record is from RNAcentral. Lineage: Bacteria; Pseudomonadati; Bacteroidota; Bacteroidia; Bacteroidales; Rikenellaceae.